This 441-nucleotide ribosomal RNA is filed under the name uncultured bacterium. RNAcentral's name for it is "partial 16S ribosomal RNA". It matches the Rfam family "Bacterial small subunit ribosomal RNA", at positions 338 to 795 of the family's 1533-position model. The record is from RNAcentral.
CCUACGGGGGGCAGCAGUGGGGAAUAUUGCACAAUGGGGGAAACCCUGAUGCAGCGACGCCGCGUGGGUGACGAAGUAUUUCGGUAUGUAAAGCCCUAUCAGCAGGGAAGAAGAUGACAGUACCUGACCAAGAAGCCCCGGCUAACUACGGGCCAGCAGCCGCGGUAAUACGUAGGGGGCAAGCGUUAUCCGGAUUUACUGGGUGUAAAGGGAGCGUAGGUGGCAUGGCAAGCCAGAAGUGAAAACCCGGGGCUUAACCCCGCGGAUUGCUUUUGGAACUGUCAGGCUGGAGUGCAGGAGGGGCAGGCGGAAUUCCUGGGGUAGCGGUGAAAUGCGUAGAUAUCAGGAGGAACACCGGUGGCGAAGGCGGCCUGCUGGACUGUAACUGACACUGAGGCUCGAAAGCGUGGGGAGCAAACAGGAUUAGAUACCUGGGUAGUC